This 86-nucleotide transfer RNA is filed under the name Candidatus Dojkabacteria bacterium. RNAcentral describes it as "tRNA-Leu". It matches the Rfam family "tRNA". From Rfam's summary of the family: Transfer RNA (tRNA) molecules are approximately 80 nucleotides in length. Their secondary structure includes four short double-helical elements and three loops (D, anti-codon, and T loops). The record is from RNAcentral.
GCCGUGGUGGUGGAACUGGUAGACACGUUGGACUUAAAAUCCAAUGAGGUUAAUCCCUCGUGCGGGUUCGACUCCCGCCCUCGGCA